Molecule: ribosomal RNA, 908 nt
Filed under: Bostrychia kingii
Lineage: Eukaryota; Rhodophyta; Florideophyceae; Ceramiales; Rhodomelaceae
Description: eukaryotic LSU rRNA
Rfam family: Eukaryotic large subunit ribosomal RNA
Source: RNAcentral
CCUGCCGAAUGAAUUAGCCCUGAAAAUGGAUGGCGCUGAAGCGUGUAGCCGACACUAUGCCGUCUGGUCAAAGAAUUUAAUUGUUGCAAAUUCUUCAGAAUUGUCCCAGAUGAGUAGGAGGAAUGUGGCGGUCGUAUUGAAGCGUGUGCGCAAGCACGCGUGGAACGGCCGCUAGUACAGAUCUUGGUGGUAGUAGCAAAUAUUCAAAUGAGAACCUUGAAGGGUGAAGCGNGGAAGGGUUCCACGCGAACAUUGAUUGGGCGUGGGUGAGUCGUUCCUAAGCCGUGUGGUAAUUGUAAGACAACCGGCGAAAGGGAAGCAGGUUGAUAUUNCUGCACACGGAUGUGGAUAUGCGGUGACGCACACUGAGGCGGUGAAGUCGUCGAUUGCACUGGGCAGAGAUUUCUUUUCUGUUUGACGGAGCCUGACUGUACGCUAUGGAAUCCGCUUGUCGGGAGAAAUAGGUAUGUCACGGCAAAGCGCCGGGUUUUUUCUGGCGUCCAGUUUGCAAUUGGCGGACCUUGAAAAACUGUCUGCUGGCAGAACACUUGUUGUUUUGUGUGAAAAAUUCCACGCCGUAACGUACCCAUAACCGCAUCAGGUCCCCAAGGUGAACAGCCUCUGCUCGAUAUGAAAAAUGCAGGUGAGGGAAGUCGGCAAAUUAGACCCGUAACUUUGGGAAAAGGGUUGGCUCUAGUGCUGCGUAGGAGUGGUUGCCGGUUGUAGCCGCGGAAUGCGGUGUUCUGCUUUUAUGUGACGGCUGCAGGUUGGAAAUGUAUAUUUUCGGCCCGCGCCAUUGUGUAAUGACGGAUCCCCAUUCUGAGACUCCUGGCGACGCCUACAGCAUGCAGCAAACUAGAACUGCAACGGACAAAGGGAAUCCGACUGUUUAAUUAAAACAAAGCAUU